This 805-nucleotide long non-coding RNA is filed under the name Lepisosteus oculatus (spotted gar). Its description in RNAcentral is "lncRNA (ENSLOCG00000022492.1)". Lineage: Eukaryota; Metazoa; Chordata; Actinopteri; Semionotiformes; Lepisosteidae. The record is from RNAcentral.
GCGUUGAGCUUCAUCUCCCCGGUGUAGAUGAAGUCCAGGAGCAGCCCCAGGCCCUCGGAGGGGCACUCCUCUGGCAGGGAGACCUCCACCAAGGGGGUGGCAGAGUAGGAGUCACGGAAGAGCUGGCUGAAGCAGGCCAGCACGCUGCGGUGGGCCCGGAACACCUCUCCAUCCACCGCGCUCAGCGUGGCGUCGCAGAAGCUACCCAGCGCCCUCUGCUGGUUCAGGGAGGACAACACCAGCUGGGCAUGUCUGUGUUCCAGCGCUGCCAUCUUCCGCCGCAGAGCCUUUUAAGCACAGAGCAGACACGGACGGCCUGUCAACAGCUUCAAACCCCGUGGAAUUGCCUAAUCUUACCUGCGUAACUAACGGAGGCCAUGUUGGAGAAGAGACCGGAUAUGACGUACUAGCGUGGCUAAAACUUCACCAGGAAGAUUGUCAAUUGCAGUGUGGGGCGCAGUUUCUCUUCAUGUCUAUUUUAUACAGAAAACCAGUUUUCAAAACGGAAUCUGAUAUAUAUGUGAAGGUUUAUAUGGCGCUGUACUAUAUCCUAACCAACAGAGGGCACCAACGCAGAAACGAAGGCCGGAAAAACUUCGGGAAGGUUUGUAGCUGUCCAUCAUUUUAUAGCUUAUGUUUUCUCAAGGAGGAAAAUGUAUUUAUAUGCUUAAUACAACAAUUUCGCUGUCCAUUUAAAUUAAAUUUAAUUUAUUUUCCAUGUACUAUUUUAAUUUUCAUGUAUGUGAAUAUGAAAACUGUUCUUAGACGAUUGAAGUCUCAAAUAUGCCUAUUCCCGAUGCAAUGA